GCGGCUCAGUGGUUAGAGCCCCUGUGUAGCACGCAGACGGGCGCGGGUUCAACCCCCGGUGGCG
Molecule: non-coding RNA, 64 nt
Organism: Podarcis lilfordi (Lilford's wall lizard)
Lineage: Eukaryota; Metazoa; Chordata; Lepidosauria; Squamata; Lacertidae
Source: the annotation of a GenBank genome assembly